This 1461-nucleotide ribosomal RNA is filed under the name Triticum aestivum (bread wheat). RNAcentral describes it as "partial small subunit ribosomal RNA". Lineage: Eukaryota; Viridiplantae; Streptophyta; Magnoliopsida; Poales; Poaceae. The record is from RNAcentral.
AUGAAGUCCUCGUCUCAGAGCCACAGCCCCAGGACCCCGUCGCCGCGCGCUCGCGGCACGGCGGCGGCCCCCGGCGCCGACCACGCGCGCUCCUCCUCGGAGCCAUGGGUUCUCGCGUGCGUGGACGACACGUGCGUCAACGACGUGGAGAGCUUCGCGCGCACCGUCGCCGCCGUGAAGUCCAAGCCCCGCCCCGACCUGCUCCCGAGCGUGCUGUCCCACUACGCCGCCAAGUGGCUCCCGGACGUGGCCACGUCCGCCUCCGGCCGCUUCCUGCCCCCGGAGAGCCCCACCGCCACGUGGCUCAAAAAGCGCCUGCUCCUGGAGACGCUCGUCGCCGCGCUCCCGCCGGACCCGCCCAGCGGCGCGGCCGCCGACGACGGCAUCACGUGCGACUUCCUGCUGAAGCUGCUCCGGGCGGGGAGCAUGGUGGGCGCGGACGCGGCGCUGCUGCGGGAGCUGGAGUCCCGCGCGGCGCGGCGGCUGGACCAGGCGACGCUGGCGGCCGUGAUGAUACCGGCGUUCGGGCACGCGCCGGGCGGGUCGACGCUGCUGGACGUGCCGCUGGUGCUGCGGCUGGUGCGCGGGUUCCUCAAGGAGGGCGGCAAGGGCGCCGGCGGCGGCGCCGGGGCGAGGGUGGCGAGGCUGGUGGACGCGUACCUGGCGGAGGCCGCGCUGGAGGCCGAGCUGCGGCCCGCCGAGCUCGAGGAGCUCGCCCGCGCCGUGCCCGCCCACGCGCGCGCCGCCGAUGACGCGCUCUACCGCGCCGUCGACACCUACCUCAAGGCACACCCAGGCGCCGGGAAAGAGGAUCGCAAGUCGCUGUGGAGGCUGAUCGACCCCCGGAAGCUGUCUGCGGAGGCGGCGGCGCACGCCGUCCAGAACGACCGGCUGCCGGUGCGCUCGGUGAUGCAGGUGCUCUUCUCGGAGCACGGCAAGCUGAACCGCCUCGCCGACCUGGGCGCCUCCUUCAGCGGCGCCAGGGUCCCCUGCAGCCCGGCGGCGGCGCUGGACCUCCACUCCGGCAGCGGCCGCUGUCCCUCCAAGCGCGAGGCCCUGGCGCAGCACCAGGAGAUGCGCCGCCUGCGCGAAGACGUCGCCAGGCUCCAGGUCCGUUCAUCGGACAUUUUCCAACUCUGGAGACAGCUCUCAUCCGCCAGUGCGUACGCUGACAUGUCUGGGCUGCAGGUACAGUGCAGCGCGCUGCAGGAGCAGGUGGAGAGGCUGGGCUCGGAGAGGAGGCGUCGCGGCGGCGUCGGCGGCGUUGGCGGGUUCAAAUGGAGCACGCUCUGGUUCGGCGGCGGCGGCGGCAUGGGCGGCGACGUCGCGAGGAUCGAGGACUCGGAGAGCGGCAUGGAGCGGCAGACGCCGGCGAGCGGCAAGAAGGGCAGGGCGAGCAUGGCCACGGCGACGCCGACGCCGACGCGGCGGACCCCCAAGUGGCGCAAGUCCAUGUCAUGA